AAAUUGAAGAGUUUGAUCAUGGCUCAGAUUGAACGCUGGCGGCAGGCCUAACACAUGCAAGUCGAGCGGAAACGAGUUAUCAGAACCUUCGGGGAACGAUAAUGGCGUCGAGCGGCGGACGGGUGAGUAAUGCCUAGGAAAUUGCCCUGAUGUGGGGGAUAACCAUUGGAAACGAUGGCUAAUACCGCAUGAUGCCUACGGGCCAAAGAGGGGGACCUUCG
This 221-nucleotide ribosomal RNA is filed under the name Vibrio parahaemolyticus. RNAcentral describes it as "partial 16S ribosomal RNA". It matches the Rfam family "Bacterial small subunit ribosomal RNA", at positions 1 to 217 of the family's 1533-position model. The record is from RNAcentral. Lineage: Bacteria; Pseudomonadati; Pseudomonadota; Gammaproteobacteria; Vibrionales; Vibrionaceae.